Molecule: ribosomal RNA, 700 nt
Filed under: uncultured beta proteobacterium
Lineage: Bacteria; Pseudomonadati; Pseudomonadota; Betaproteobacteria
Description: bacterial SSU rRNA
Rfam family: Bacterial small subunit ribosomal RNA
Source: RNAcentral
UCGAACGGCAGCACGGGGGCAACCCUGGUGGCGAGUGGCGAACGGGUGAGUAAUGCAUCGGAACGUGUCCUCUUGUGGGGGAUAACCAGUCGAAAGACUGGCUAAUACCGCAUGAGAUCGAAAGAUGAAAGCGGGGGACCGCAAGGCCCCGCGCGAGAGGAGCGGCCGAUGCCGGAUUAGCUAGUUGGUGGGGUAAAAGCCUACCAAGGCGACGAUCCGUAGCUGGUCUGAGAGGACGACCAGCCACACUGGGACUGAGACACGGCCCAGACUCCUACGGGAGGCAGCAGUGGGGAAUUUUGGACAAUGGGCGCAAGCCUGAUCCAGCCAUGCCGCGUGUGUGAAGAAGGCCUUCGGGUUGUAAAGCACUUUCGGACGGAACGAAAUCGCGCGGUUGAACAUUCCGCGUGGAUGACGGUACCGUAAGAAGAAGCACCGGCUAACUACGUGCCAGCAGCCGCGGUAAUACGUAGGGUGCGAGCGUUAAUCGGAAUUACUGGGCGUAAAGGGUGCGCGGGCGGCCCCGCAUGUCAGGCGUGAAAUCCCCGAGCUCAACUUGGGAAUGGCGCUUGAAACUACGGGGCUGGAGUGUGGCAGAGGGAGGUGGAAUUCCACGUGUAGCGGUGAAAUGCGUAGAGAUGUGGAGGAACACCGAUGGCGAAGGCAGCCUCCUGGGCCAACACUGACGCUCAUGCACGAA